Molecule: ribosomal RNA, 35 nt
Filed under: Phlyctiderma japonicum
Lineage: Eukaryota; Metazoa; Mollusca; Bivalvia; Lucinida; Ungulinidae
Description: partial 5.8S rRNA
Source: RNAcentral
ACAACUCUGUGCGGUGGAUCACUCGGCUCGUGCGU